RNAcentral lists this transfer RNA (73 nucleotides) under Myotis lucifugus (little brown bat). It matches the Rfam family "tRNA". From Rfam's summary of the family: Transfer RNA (tRNA) molecules are approximately 80 nucleotides in length. Their secondary structure includes four short double-helical elements and three loops (D, anti-codon, and T loops). Further hydrogen bonds mediate the characteristic L-shaped molecular structure. tRNAs have two regions of fundamental functional importance: the anti-codon, which is responsible for specific mRNA codon recognition, and the 3' end, to which the tRNAs corresponding amino acid is attached (by aminoacyl-tRNA synthetases). tRNAs cope with the degeneracy of the genetic code in two manners: having more than one tRNA (with a specific anti-codon) for a particular amino acid; and 'wobble' base-pairing, i.e. permitting non-standard base-pairing at the 3rd anti-codon position. Lineage: Eukaryota; Metazoa; Chordata; Mammalia; Chiroptera; Vespertilionidae. The record is from Rfam by way of RNAcentral.
GCCUUUGUGGCUCAGUGGAUAGAGCAUUGGCCUGUGGACUGAAAGGUCCCGGGUUCGACUCUGGUCAAGGGCA